RNAcentral lists this unclassified non-coding RNA (238 nucleotides) under fungal sp. RNAcentral's name for it is "partial internal transcribed spacer region". The stretch from base 1 to 46 matches the Rfam family "Eukaryotic small subunit ribosomal RNA", at positions 1786 to 1831 of the family's 1831-position model. Lineage: Eukaryota; Fungi. The record is from RNAcentral.
AAGGCGUAACAAGGUUUCCGUAGGUGAACCUGCGGAAGGAUCAUUAACACGUAUCCAAACGUUAAAACCCCCCCGUGAACCUUCAUCCUGCUCUUGUAACCCGCGUAGUUCGCAAUCUCUGAUAAAUCAUAGCCCGGAAAGUUGUAGUGAUUCAGAGACCUCUGGCUACGUGCGAACAUUAGAACAGUUACAAUCGAGCGGUAGUUCUAUAGGCAAUGUUAACGAUGAAGAACGCAGC